Molecule: long non-coding RNA, 329 nt
Filed under: Manihot esculenta (cassava)
Lineage: Eukaryota; Viridiplantae; Streptophyta; Magnoliopsida; Malpighiales; Euphorbiaceae
Description: long non-coding RNA (MESC_LNC000006)
Source: RNAcentral
CCCAGUGAGCAGAAUAAUAUGAAACAUUAUAUUAAAAUUUUAUGCUUUCAUGGAAUGCAACACAUCACAACAAAUCACAUCUCGGAUGGUAUUGUCACCUAUAGUCCUCUACAUAGGUCCAACUGUGCCGGGACGUAGAAUGGGUCAACCGGUCUUUCCCUUAUCAUAACAUAUCAUAUGGACCAACUGUGCCAGGGACGUAGAAUGGGUACAACCUGGACUUUCUCUUACAUCGUGCCAGGGACGUAGAAUGGGUACAACCUGGACUUCCAUACCAUAACAUGCCAUAACAUCAAUCAUAUCAUAGGAGGACUAAAGGAUCAUCCAAU